Molecule: small nuclear RNA, 110 nt
Organism: Phodopus roborovskii (desert hamster)
Lineage: Eukaryota; Metazoa; Chordata; Mammalia; Rodentia; Cricetidae
Source: RefSeq, a predicted model, not a curated record
GUGCUUGCUUCGGCAGCACAUAUACUGCAAUUGGAAUGAUACAGAGAAGAUUAGCAUGGCCCCUGCGCAAGCAAAUGUGAGGACCUGAGUGUGAGCACCAGAAUCUAUGU